Molecule: small RNA, 125 nt
Filed under: Marmota monax (woodchuck)
Lineage: Eukaryota; Metazoa; Chordata; Mammalia; Rodentia; Sciuridae
Source: RNAcentral
GCUGGGCAUAGUGACACAUGCCUGUAAUCCCAACAGCUUGGGAGGCUGAGGCGGGAGGAUCAUGAGUUCAAAGCCAGCCUCAGCCAAAGCGAGGUGCUAAGCAAUUCAAUGAGUCCCUGUCUCUA